Molecule: long non-coding RNA, 10210 nt
Organism: Neofelis nebulosa (Clouded leopard)
Lineage: Eukaryota; Metazoa; Chordata; Mammalia; Carnivora; Felidae
Exons: 4
Source: RefSeq, a predicted model, not a curated record
AAAUAAGUCUGCAGUAUUGCAUCUUAAGAAUCCGGAGUUGUUUGCAGCCUAUCUGAAGGUCCUCGAGCAUUUGGUCAGUAAGCAGGACACAACCAGAAAUAUCCAAAAUGUGCAGAACUGAGGGAAGGACCUGGGCUGUUGGAUCACUUGAUGCCAUCAGGAUGACUCCAGAGCCAGCAUCCAUGAAUCCAGAAGCAAUGUUCCAGACUUCCAGUUUCCAGUCUGUCCUGAGAGUUUGGAACUUAUCACUUCUAUCCUCAAAAGAAGAAAAAAGGCCACUAGAAAAUGUGUGCAUUAAUUGGGACUGAGAAGAAAAUGUACUUUGCAACUACCUACUUUUAUACAGUUGUCCGUCAGAGUUGGCAUGUCGUUGAUGGUCAGAUGCAUAAUUCCAGUGCAGCUGUUUCCAAUGUUCCUGAAGCCUUGGACUGAAAUCUGAAUCGUACAAAGUAGGUGAAAAUGAUGGUAGAACUCAUUAGCAUGACAGCUAAUAAAACCCGAAUGAAGUCGUAAGCAAAGGUAUGUCAUGAUGUUGCUACCAUAUUUUAAAACUGGAACCAUAAAAUAUGACAGACAUAAGAGGUAAAGAAUCUAGUCUUGAUUUCUUUACUAUUUAAUUUCUUAUAUGUAUAUUAUGCAAUGAUCAUCACAAUAGGUCUAGUUAACUUAUUGUUUAAUUGUUUUAUUGAGGCAAAAUUCACAUAACGUAAAAUUAGUCACUUAAAUGGACCCUUAACCAUUCAUGAUCUUAUGCAACCACAACCUCUAUAUGGUUCCAAAAUAUUUUUAUCACCCUAAAAGGAAACUGAAUCUAUUAAGCAGUUGCUCCUUAUACUCCCCUUUUCCUAGCCCCCAGCAAUCAUUAAUCUGGGUUCUGUCUCUGUGGAUUUACCUCUUCUAAAUAUUUCACAGAAGUAGAAUCAUAUAGUAUAUGGCCUUUUGUGUCUUCUCUCUUUCACUUAGCAUAAUGUUUUUGAGGUUCAUCCAUGGUGUAGCAUGUAUCAGUACCUUAUUCAUUUUUAUGGCUGAAUAAUAUUCUAUUGAAUGAAUAUACGGCAUUUUGUUCAUCCAUUCAUCUAUUGAUGGAUAUUUGAGCUGUUUCCAUCUUUUGGAUAUUUUGAACAGUGCUGCUAUGAACAUAUAUGUGCAUCUAUUUGUUUGAGUACCAGUUUUCAAUUGUUUUGGGUAUAUAUGUAGGAGUGGAAUUCCUGGACCCUAUGGUAAUUCUAUGUUUAACUGUUUUAAGGAACCACCAAAAUGUUUUUUACAGUGAUUGCACCAUUUUACGUUCCAACCAGCAAUCUAAUAGUGUUCCCACUUCUCCACAUCUUUGCCAACAUUAUUUUUCAUUUUCCCAUGUUUUUCUUUUUUUUAAGUUUUUAUUUAUUUAUUUUGAGAGAGAGAGUACACAAGUUAGGGAGGGGCAGAGAGAGAGAAUCCCAAGCAGACUCUGGGCUGUCAGUGCAGAGCCGACAUGGGGCUUGAACUCACAAACCUGUGAGAUCAUGACCUGAGCCAAAAUCAAGAGUCAGAUGCUCAACCAACUGAGCCACGCAGGCACAAUGCAUGGCCACAUUUUUAUCCAUAUCAGCAUCUUUGAGAUUAUCCACCCUAUCUGGCACCACUAAGUGCCUGAACGAGGCAUAACUAAAAAGAAAGCUUUAAGAUUUUAUUGUUGCUUCACAUUGCUAAGUUAAAACAGAAACCCUCAAGCCCUUAAAGUUCUGAUCCAAAAUACUUAAUAAAGGAAUUUCAGUUUCUUAAAGUUAAAUAACUAAAUUAGGAGGGGAAACAUUCCAUUUUUAAAUGCAUGUGAAUGAGUAUUAUUUAACUUGUGUAGCUGUGUGAGAAAGUGUUUUCAGCCCUGUUAGAGUUCUCAUAAAGUGAAUGUGAUUGUACCAUGUUAUGGAAGUCACAGCUCAUAAGUGACUCCUCACAUGUGAUGACAUAUUACAAAAUGCCUGGAGGUGGGAACAGCAGAAGAGACAGGCUAUCAUAAAGAUCUUGGACUUCUCUUAUAGACUGAGGUAGCCUCCAGGAGAUGUGGAAACAAAGUAUCAGGUUCCUUGAUCAGUUUUCUCCAGAUUACAAAUUGACAGAACAAGAACACAGAUGUUCAAACUCUUAAUCCAAUGUUCCUUCUGAUGAACAUUCUUCAACAAUAACAUCCAUUUCAACUGUCCCACCCCACAUGCCGUAGUUCUUUAGACUUAGCUGCUCCAGCCAGAAAGACAUCUUACUUCUCCAGUACUCAGUGGACCUCUCUGUUCUUUGUCUGACCUUGUACCUCCCUUUGCCUCUUUCUCUUUUCAUCUAUUCAAGCCUUAACUAUGUCUCAAGUUCCAAUGACUCCAGCUACUUUCCUUCUCUUUCCCUUACAAGCCUAAAACUCUUUAUUUUAGCCAUAACUCUUUCCUAUAACCUGCAUGUCUUAAUUCCCCCAAGGAGAUGAUCUUACACUCUUUUUAAACUUCUUACUGUGUUGGACAACUAUCUGUGGCUAAAUGAAUUAAAUUUAGGAGUAAGACAAAUAACGUCUGGGAAAGAGUACAGAAUUUGGCUACAGAAAAAACCAAAAACAAUUCCAAGUCGAAGGUAAAGCACAAAAGUGAAAGGAAAGCAGGGGGAGCACUGGACUUGGAUGAAGUGGCAAGGUCACCCCUGGGAUGAAUAGGAAAAGGUAAGGAGGGAGGGAAAGCUAAUGGAAGACCCAUAAGGCAAGAGUGAGAUAUUUUGUAUUGUACUGUCAUGGAUUCUUGAAUAAGUUUCCAUAAGUAUUCCCAGAGAAAGGUCCAGGGGAGAUGAAUAAACAUUAAAAAUCUGGAGAUCAGAGGAGGGAAGAAUGUUGGGCUUAGAAUCAGCAGAGCUGGGUUGGAAUCUGGCUCUGUUUCUUUGUCACUUGUAACACAAGGCAACUCAACCUCUCUGACACCUAGUCUUCCCAUCUGUAAAGUGGGGAUUAUCAUAUGGGUAUAUUAUUAAUAAUUCUAAUUAAUAUUGAUAUAAUAAUGGUAAUUGAUAAUGUAAUGGUUCAUUAAUUAUAAUUAUUAAUAACAUCUGUUUUAGGAGAUACUUGGGAAAACAAAAUGGGGUAAUGUGUAUGUAAAAGUGGUCAGUUAGCACAAUGUCUGGCAUGAAAUACUGGAUACCAGUUUUCUUAUUAGUGUUCUUCUGGGUGCAUUGUGUUCCCACAGAGAAGUACAGAUUCGUGACCUAGAGAUAGAGGAGCUUGAGAGAUCAUUCUAGUGCAUCCCUCACAUUGCAAAAAUAAAGAAAUAGUAUUCAGAGAAGUAGUGUGAUUUGAGAACAGGUUCUUUAUCUGUUCUUCAUGUCCCCAGUGUCCCCAGUGCUGGACAGUGUCAGACAGAGUGAGUGCUCCAUAAGUGCUGAAUGAAUGAAUGAAUGGUCUUGAGUCACAUCAUCUAUGGCAGAGCGAAGGCUAGAGGCCACCUCUCCCCAUCUGACCCACAAUUCCAGGGAUGGGAAUAGUUGGGUUUUUUUAAUAUGAAAUUUAUUGUCAAAUUGGUUUCCAUACAACACCCAGUGCUCAUCCCAACAGGUGCCCUCCUCAGUGCCCAUCACCCACCCUCCCCUCCCUCCCACCCCCCAUCAACCCUCAGUUUAUUCUCAGUUUUUAAGAGUCUCUUAUGGGAAUAGUUGUUUUUUACAACACUUCUAAAUUUCUCUCCUUUCUCUCAGCCCUGGUCUAUUACCCUAGCACUAUUAUUUCCAAUAAUGGCUUCCCCUAAAACACAAGAUAAAAAAAAUUAAAAAAUUAAAAAAACCUUUUCUCUCUUGCUGUCUUGGAGACAUAUUUAUGACAAGAUUUUCUGAACAAGGGAAAAAAUUAUAGCAGUAAUCAGCCACAGCUGAGUGAUUCCUUGCAGCACAGCCAAACGCUUGGUGCUAUCAACCAAUAAGACUGUGUCCAGAAAAGGGGUGGGGGAAACCUCUAAGAAGAGCUUUUUAGUUUUGUCCUGGCAUGAAAUGCUUAGUUCUCUACACAGUUUAUUUUAGAAUGUCCAAAAAGAUGCUUGGCUAAUACUUUAUGACUCAAAUAUUCUCGCCACAGUCUUUUAGGCCAACCAACUAUUAACUUGUCCUUUCUCUUCACUGAAAUAAUGGGAAUAUAAGCCUGAGAGUAACAAUCCCUCUCGAAGGGGAAAAAAAGUAUUUUACCAUGUUAAAACACCAGGCUUUGCCACAGCUGAUACAUGUGUAUCGUGUGUUUAAUAUUCUUACAAAACUCGGGAUCUAAUCUCACUGUGUUUCCUUGCGAGGUGAUUUGGACUUCAGUUUUGAUACCAAGUGGAGCCCUGCCACCCUGCUCUUUGCUGUCAAACCCCCGUUGGUUAGGUAAUUGGGGGAGCUGGCCACACCAAUGCCAUCAUAAUCGCAAGUCCCAGCAGACAGCUACUGCUGCUAAUGGGGGCAGAGAAGCUUUGGUGAUCAUAGGAAAUCCUCUCCAGCUGCCUCUGGGUGGGUCUGAACCCAUGAGCAGGACAGGACAGAGCUGUCUGAGGAGGAAAUGAGUUGUCAGUGAGCCACACGAAAUGAAGACCAAAGCGUUGAGCACCAAGGACUAGCUCACAUCCCGCUUUGCUGCUGCAAGAUGGUAAAAAGAAGGAAGGAACUUAUCUCAGGGAGAAUAACAUAUUACUAAGCUUCCACUUUCCACUUCUUUAAAACACUGAACCAGUUAGCUCAGCAACACAGAAAGGAGAUGUAUGUAGGGCCAGAGCCUCUAUGACAGCUAGAAAUAUCCAUCUUAGGUAGACAUUGCCCAAGUUGUGUUCCUAUACCAUUUCCAGCUGUUUCUCUCAUUUGAACAACACUGUAACCCAUGACUAAUGGGUAAUGUAAUGACUUUAGUCAUAUCCAUAUAUCCUUCAUGACCUCCUGGUGACCUCAGAGAAGCCUGGCUUAGCAAGUAGAAUGAAUUGUUGGAGAGAAAGACAAAGAUUUUUCCCCAAAACAUGGAACACUUUGUUUUAUUCCAUUCAAAUGUGCCACAGACUUCUAAAAUAGCAACAGUUCCCAGGGUCUGUGCUAAAAGGGCUUGACAGGCUUUCAUAUAUUGUGUCCUCUGUGAUGACAAGAAGAGAGGCCUCGUUAUAACUGCUUAGAUGAUGCUUUACUUUCCAGUCUAUAUAUUCUUCAUGGCUACCCCCUCCUCUACGUUUGCUAAUGUACUUCUCCUAGGUAGCCCUCCCUGACCACUUCAGGUAGAACUGUUUCUUCCUCUUGGAUCUCAGAGCACCAAACAGUAUAGCCUUAAGUUUGAAUUUUGUAUCCUCUCCCUUGUAUAAUAAUUACGUGUACACAUGUUUACCAUUCCUGCCCAGGAACACAGACAGAAUUUUCUCCACCAUGCCCUUCACAGUACCACACAAGUGCUUGGCACUGAGUAUGAUACUACAACUGUUUGUUAGUAGAUCAAGUCAUUGAAUAAACUGUUGUAGAAUGUAAAUGAGAAUUAAUAGUUCUAAGGCAGGGUAAGGGUAAUAAUACGGUCAUUUGUUAAAGAUUGCUGUAUUUAUCUAAAAACAUUGAAACACCAAACAUAAAAAAGAAAGUUUCAUUUUCCGAUGUGAGUGGGGAAUUAGAAUACAAGAUUAGUGAAGGCUCCAGAUGCCAGGAAGGCAGGCAUGCCAACUCUGUGCACUCACUGCACAAUGACUGUGAGCUGUGACCUGCCGAAGUAGGCUUGACCCUUCUUACACUUCAUCAUUCUUGUUUAGCGUACACCAUCUUCUUCUUUUCCUCACCCAAUGGCCAAAUUGCUCACAGCUCCUCCUGUACGAUAAAUGGAGCUUCAUCUCCCUUUUAACCAAGAGAAUCACAACCAUAAUACUUUUUAUUACAACACAAUGAUCCACAGAGCUACUUGAUUUGUCUAGACUUAUUGAGCUAGAUGGUGGCUUUAUAGCUACCAUUGUAACCAUAGGCUUCACUGGGGGCCCAAGACCCAAGUAGAGUUUUGUGAAGAGUUGAUGAAAUUCUGUAUGUAAGUCACAUCCUAAGAGAAGGAGCAGAGAAGAAACUGAAAGAAGGAUGGUUUUUCAGAAAGCCCUAAAGUUUUUCCAAGCCUUUUUUUAGGAGUGCGAAACAUGAUCUUAGUCCCCUAAGACUCAUCAUUUUGUCAUCUGAUUCUUCAAGAUCUAAAAAUUGUUGCCAGAUGUUUCAUUUGUUACUGCUUAAUGUAAUAAACAUCCUUACACAUUUUGCCUACAAAGAGAUUGCAUUAAGCUAUGGAUGUUAGCAGUAGAUGUUUGUUAUAUUUAUUUUUUAUUUUCAAUAUGGCUAGCAUAAAGUUAUAUUCAAACUCAUAACAACCAUUUAAAUUUAGAUGAGCCCUAUCUACAAGAUAUGUAAAAUGAUUUUCCUGUUCAACACAGUUCAAAGUAUAAUUCAGAAAGGUCAUAAAGCAUUCCUUUAACAGGGAAACUGAGACACAAGACCUGACUGAGAAAAGCAGAAAUUGCGCUGUGGUUUUUCUGAUUCAUGACUGAUUUUCCACUAGAACCCCUUCAUAUUAAUGACACUUAAGACCACAAAAUAUUUUUUUCAAAUAGAAAAAAGUGCAACUUUUUUUUCCUUUUUUACUGUAUGCAGUAUAUAGCACUUCACAGUUUUACAAAUGAUAGUCUAGUUGUAUAGAGCCUGGUAUUCAGAAUUAGUUGGAUCAAGGUUAUCAUUUUGGCCCAGACACUUUUUGUGUGACCUUAGGCAAGUUACUUUAUCUUAGCACCAUUUUCAAUAGUGUGUGGGGCCAGUUUAUACCAGUUUGCAAGUGCAAGUUGUUAAAUUUGUAGGAACUCUGCAAGCCUAUUGUUAAAGACAGUCAUAUUAAAAAUUAAGUCAUAUAAACUUAAAAUUAAAAUUAAAUAAGUUCUAUUAACAAAGGUAGUGAAUAUUCCAACUCAUCAAUUCCUAAUUAUGUUAUUACAUGUUACCAUUUCCUAUGCUCUUGAGGAUAUUUGUGUGUAUUGGAUGUAUACAGCGACAGCAUUACAUAACAGUUACAUAACAUUACAUCACUCUUUUUUCAGUGACUUCUCAUUGGCAAGUUGAAAUAGGUCAUGGUGAGAGUAUUUACACCAUGGAAAUCAGCAACCAUUGCAAAUCAGGGCUUUCUCUGCUUCCUGCCAGUUGUUAAAUGUUUACCAGCACAUGAUUUUUCAGUUUUCACAUCUCUAAAAUGGGAAUAAUGAUACCUACCUCAUACAGUUAUGUAUAAAGAUUAAAUCAGAUAAUAAAUGUAAAACACUUACCUCAACACCUAGCACCAAGUCGGUACCCAAACAAAUGACAGCAAUUAUUAUCACCAUCCAUUAAAAUACAGAAUAAGGGAAAAUGGAAUCAAACAAAUGUAAAUGAAUCAUAAUUUUGAAUUAACUGUUGACAAUUCAUUUUGGUACAUAGUCUGCUUAUUCAUAACUGGUUUAGCUGGUCACACAACUCUUAUUGUUCCAAUUGCCCCUUAUUGGUAACCUAGCAAAUCUGUACAUCCACUCUCAGCUCUGUGCCAAGGACCAGACUUCUACACAGAAACACAAAAUUCUCAAGCUGAAAAGGAUCUCAGAGAUCAUUCAGCCCAAACUAGCCAUUCUACAGAUAAAGGAACUGAGGCAGAAAACCUAAGUAACCGUUCAGAGUUGCACAAGAGGGUAGUGGCACAGCAAGGACUAGAUCCCAGGUGUCCCAAGUCCAGCUUGGGGCCCCUUUCACCAUCCCACUGCCUUCUGCUGCAGGAGAGAGAGAAAGAAAGAGAAAUCCCUUUCCACUCUUACUUUGCUUAUGCAAUCUCCCUUCCAUUUGGCCAGUACAUUCAUUCCUGGACAUGCCUCUGUGUCUUUCUCCCACCUCCACCACAAUCCCCAGAGGUGAACAAGUAAAACCUUCCAUGAUCUUUGCCUUUCUAGAAGGGGAGUCUGUAAUUUAUGUAGCCUAGAGAGGACUGAAAUGACCUUGGAAUCUUCCUGUUUGCAGUUUGCACAGCCUACCUUUAAGAUCCAUGGGUCCCAGAGAGACUUAGCAGUACAAGAACUACUGAUAAACCAUUAUUAUUGUGUUGAGUCAUUUGAACAUUUCUGGGAUGCUGUCCCUUUUCAUUUUUGUUGACUUGGGUGUAGUGACUAAAAAAUAAUUGAUGAAAAAGUACUUUCACUGUAGUAUUUCAUAUUUUCCUAAGCUCUUUUCUUCCCCUAAAUCUAAAGCAAUGUGAAAUUCCCCCCUUACCAAGAAAAGACUAUCAGACUUUGCUCUGGCAAGUUGCUAACUUCUCAGCUUCCUAACAGACUUCUUGAGCUUCCACCUGAAGCAUCUGGCUGGCCACACCCUGAAAUUGGCUGCCACUUAUUUCGUUCAUUCAUUCACUUGUUCAUGAAACGUUGAUCAAAGUCCUACUCCUACUACAUGCAAGGUAUUUACUGUAUUAUGUGCUAAGGAUAACAAAUACACAGAUAAAUAAGGCACCAUCCUGGCCAUCAAGGAGGCCAUGAUGGGGAGGACAGCAGACAAAAAAGUAAACCACUGAAUAUGUAGAGAAUGCUUAGUGAAAGUACAAUAAUAAAAGAACAAACAGGAAGGAUCAUAACCUAGCUUGAGUUGGGGGAAAAGGAGGGGGUCAGUGAGAACUUCCUAGAGAAAGAAGGUUGUGAUUGAACAAAGCCUCAAAGGAUGCAUAAAAACUAAUCUGGUGAAUGGGAGAAAGGGACAAUAUGAGGAUCACUCUAGAUGCUGGGUUGAGAGUAGACUUGUAGGAGGCAGAAGUGAAAGCAGAGAGACCAAUUAGGAGGUUGUCAUAAUCAGUGCCAAAAUGGCCAGUGCCAGACACCCCAAGGCAAGAGCUCAUGUGUUGAAAGAACAGCAAGGAAACCAGUGUGCCCGGAACAGACUUGGUAAGUGGCAGACCAGUAGGAAUUAAUGCCAGAAGGGCAGUUGGGGGAGAAAACAGAUUACAUAGGGUCUUGAAGUUUCUUCCAAGGUUUUUCUUUUAAUGAGUGGGUAGGAUGCCUCACCAGGUGUUUGAGAAGAGGAAGGACAUUGACUUGGGCAGAGGGUACAAGGUGAGCCUAAUAAAACACCUGAGGCUGGAAGUGAAGAACAGGGGAGGCACAGAGGCAAAAGCUUCUAUUGCAAGCUCUCUUAUUCUCUUGUUUAACUCUCAUAUCUGAAAAUAUAAAUCUGAAUCUUGGCCUUCACCUGGCUCUGUCUCUCACUCUGUUCAGAGUUGUUGGUUUCUGGGCAUUUGGGUUUCAGCCUGAGAUUGGCUACAACCCUAGCCUUCCUUCCCAGCAUAGCUGUCAUUGUUCUGUGCUUGGCUUCCUACACAGUGUCAUAACCCAUGGCUACAUGCAUUUGGGGAUACAUAAAUCAGUAGGAGAAGUGGCCACCCAAAGUUAAUAUCAACAGGAGAAUCCUUGGACUUACAAACAGACAAAGGAUAAAGGGAAAGCAUAACCAGCAAUCACUGCCCUCCUCAUAGGGACUUUCUCAUGUAAAACUAGAAAAGCUUUGUCUUCUCCAUUAAAAUUUUUCAUCCUACCCAUAUUUUCUAUUUUGAGAUUUUCAAAGAAACAAGAACUUUUGGAGAGUACUGAAAUUAACAGGGAGUGAUGUAGAUAUCUUAAGAGCAUUUUAGCUGAUACCUUUUUAUCUACUCAUUCAUCAUGGGGGCAUGUGAGGAAAGUCUCAAAGGAGGGGAGGAAGUUAGCCAUACAGAUAGCUGCAGAAGGAGUAUUCCAGGCAAGGAAAAUGGCCAGUGUCCAGUAGCAAAUACCCUGAGUCAAGAGCUCAUGUGUUGAAAGAACAGCAAGGAAACCAGUGUGACUAGAAUAGACUUGGUAAGUGGGAGAGCAGUAGGAAUUAAUGCCUGAAGGGCAGUUGGGGGAGAAGACAGAUUACCUAGGGUCUUAAAAGUCCUUCCAAGAUGUCUCUUUUAUUGAAUGAAUAGGAUGCCUCGCCAGGUAUUUGAGAAGAGGAAGGACAUUGACUUGGGUUUGAAAAGCCACACUCUAGAUACUGGGUGAGGGGCGCCUGGGUUGCUCAGUCGGUUGGGUGUCCGACUUCAGCUCAGGUCACGAUCUCGCAGUCCGUGAGUUCGAGCCCCGCAUCGGGCUCUGGGCUGAUGGCUCAGAGCCUGGAGCCUGCUUCCAAUUCUGUGUCUCCCUCUCUCUCUGCCCCUCCCCCGUUCAUGCUCUGUCUC